UAACCUGCCCAAGAGAUCGGGAUAACACCUGGAAACAGAUGCUAAUACCGGAUAACAACAGAUGAUGCCUAUCAACUGUUUAAAAGAUGGUUCUGCUAUCACUCUUGGAUGGACCUGCGGUGCAUUAGCUAGUUGGUAGGGUAACGGCCUACCAAGGCGAUGAUGCAUAGCCGAGUUCGAGAGACUGAUCGGCCACAUUGGGACUGAGACACGGCCCAAACUCCGUACGGGAGGCAGCAGCG
This 242-nucleotide ribosomal RNA is filed under the name uncultured Lactobacillus sp. Its description in RNAcentral is "partial 16S ribosomal RNA". It matches the Rfam family "Bacterial small subunit ribosomal RNA", at positions 122 to 356 of the family's 1533-position model. Lineage: Bacteria; Bacillati; Bacillota; Bacilli; Lactobacillales; Lactobacillaceae. The record is from RNAcentral.